UGGGGAAUAUUGCACAAUGGGGGAAACCCUGAUGCAGCCAUGCCGCGUGUGUGAAGAAGGCCUUCGGGUUGUAAAGCACUUUCAGUGGGGAGGAAGGGUUGAUGUCUAAUACGUAUCAUUAUUGACGUUACCCACAGAAGAAGCACCGGCUAACUCCGUGCCAGCAGCCGCGGUAAUACGGAGGGUGCCAGCGUUAAUCGGAAUAACUGGGCGUAAAGCGCACGCAGGCGGUUAGAUAAGGCAGAUGUGAAAUCCCCGGGCUCAACCUGGGAACUGCAUUUGAAACUGUCUGACUAGAGUCUUGUAGAGGGGGGUAGAAUUCCAGGUGUAGCGGUGAAAGGCGUAGAGAUCUGGAGGAAUACCGGUGGCGAAGGCGGCCCCCUGGACAAAGACUGACGCUCAGGUGCGAAAGCGUGGGGAGCAAACA
This 427-nucleotide ribosomal RNA is filed under the name uncultured prokaryote. RNAcentral describes it as "bacterial SSU rRNA". It matches the Rfam family "Bacterial small subunit ribosomal RNA", at positions 355 to 774 of the family's 1533-position model. The record is from RNAcentral.